This 429-nucleotide ribosomal RNA is filed under the name Bacteroidota bacterium. RNAcentral describes it as "Bacteroidetes bacterium partial 16S ribosomal RNA". It matches the Rfam family "Bacterial small subunit ribosomal RNA", at positions 355 to 776 of the family's 1533-position model. The record is from RNAcentral. Lineage: Bacteria; Pseudomonadati; Bacteroidota.
UAGGGAAUCUUCCGCAAUGGACGCAAGUCUGACGGAGCAACGCCGCGUGAGUGAAGAAGGAUUUCGGUUCGUAAAACUCUGUUGUUAAGGAAGAACGAGUGUGAGAAUGGAAAGUUCAUACUGUGACGGUACUUAACCAGAAAGGGACGGCUAACUACGUGCCAGCAGCCGCGGUAAUACGUAGGUCCCGAGCGUUGUCCGGAUUUAUUGGGCGUAAAGCGAGCGCAGGCGGUUAGAUAAGUCUGAAGUUAAAGGCAGUGGCUCAACCAUUGUAGGCUUUGGAAACUGUUUAACUGGAGUGCAGAAGGGGAGAGUGGAAUUCCAUGUGUAGCGGUGAAAUGCGUAGAUAUAUGGAGGAACACCGGUGGCGAAAGCGGCUCUCUGGUCUGUAACUGACGCUGAGGCUCGAAAGCGUGGGGAGCGAACAGG